GAUGAACGCUGGCGGCGUGCCUAAUACAUGCAAGUCGAACGAAACUUCUUUAUCACCGAGUGCUUGCACUCACCGAUAAAGAGUUGAGUGGCGAACGGGUGAGUAACACGUGGGCAACCUGCCCAAAAGAGGGGGAUAACACUUGGAAACAGGUGCUAAUACCGCAUAACCAUAGUUACCGCAUGGUAACUAUGUAAAAGGUGGCUAUACUACCGCCUUUGGAUGGGCCCGCGGCGCAUUAGCUAGUUGGUAGGGUAAAGGCUUGCCAAGGCAAUGAUGCGUAGCCGAAUUGAGAGGUUGAUCGGCCACAUUGGGACUGAGACACGGCCCAAACUCCUACGGGAGGCAGCAGUAGGGAAUCUUCCACAAUGGGCGAAAGCCUGAUGGAGCAACGCCGCGUGGGUGAAGAAGGUCUUCGGAUCGUAAAACCCUGUUGUUAGAGAAGAAAGUGCGUGAGAGUAACUGUUCACGUUUCGACGGUAUCUAACCAGAAAGCCACGGCUAACUACGUG
This 512-nucleotide ribosomal RNA is filed under the name uncultured bacterium. RNAcentral's name for it is "partial 16S ribosomal RNA". It matches the Rfam family "Bacterial small subunit ribosomal RNA", at positions 28 to 507 of the family's 1533-position model. The record is from RNAcentral.